This 275-nucleotide ribosomal RNA is filed under the name uncultured bacterium. Its description in RNAcentral is "partial 16S ribosomal RNA". It matches the Rfam family "Bacterial small subunit ribosomal RNA", at positions 79 to 353 of the family's 1533-position model. The record is from RNAcentral.
CUAAGUUUGAUGGCGACCGGCGCACGGGUGAGUAACACGUAUCCAACCUGCCGAUGACUCGGGGAUAGCCUUUCGAAAGAAAGAUUAAUACCCGAUGGCAUAGUUCUUCCGCAUGGUAGAACUAUUAAAGAAUUUCGGUCAUCGAUGGGGAUGCGUUCUAUUAGGUUGUUGGCGGGGUAACGGCCCACCAAGCCUUCGAUGGAUAGGGGUUCUGAGAGGAAGGUCCCCCACAUUGGAACUGAGACACGGUCCAAACUCCUACGGGAGGCAGCAUG